AUUUAGGUAGCUUAUGUAAAGUUUAACAUUGAAGCUGUUAAGAUGAGAGUUAGGCUCUCCUUGAAUA
Molecule: transfer RNA, 67 nt
Filed under: Reduvius tenebrosus
Lineage: Eukaryota; Metazoa; Arthropoda; Insecta; Hemiptera; Reduviidae
Description: tRNA-Phe
Rfam family: tRNA
About the family: Transfer RNA (tRNA) molecules are approximately 80 nucleotides in length. Their secondary structure includes four short double-helical elements and three loops (D, anti-codon, and T loops). Further hydrogen bonds mediate the characteristic L-shaped molecular structure. tRNAs have two regions of fundamental functional importance: the anti-codon, which is responsible for specific mRNA codon recognition, and the 3' end, to which the tRNAs corresponding amino acid is attached (by aminoacyl-tRNA synthetases). tRNAs cope with the degeneracy of the genetic code in two manners: having more than one tRNA (with a specific anti-codon) for a particular amino acid; and 'wobble' base-pairing, i.e. permitting non-standard base-pairing at the 3rd anti-codon position.
Source: RNAcentral